RNAcentral lists this ribosomal RNA (512 nucleotides) under uncultured bacterium. RNAcentral's name for it is "bacterial SSU rRNA". It matches the Rfam family "Bacterial small subunit ribosomal RNA", at positions 34 to 518 of the family's 1533-position model. The record is from RNAcentral.
CGCUGGCGGCGUGCCUAAUACAUGCAAGUCGAACGGUCUUUUCUAUGGAAGCUUGCUUCCACUGAGAAGAUAGUGGCGAACGGGUGAGUAACACGUGGGUAACCUGCCCAUAAGAGGGGGAUAACAUCCGGAAACGGGUGCUAAUACCGCAUAGUUUUCUUGAUCGCAUGAUCGGGAAAGGAAAGACGGCCUUUGUGCUGUCGCUUAUGGAUGGACCCGCGGCGUAUUAGUUAGUUGGUGAGGUAACGGCUCACCAAGACGAUGAUACGUAGCCGACCUGAGAGGGUGAUCGGCCACAUUGGGACUGAGACACGGCCCAAACUCCUACGGGAGGCAGCAGUAGGGAAUCUUCCGCAAUGGACGAAAGUCUGACGGAGCAACGCCGCGUGAGUGAAGAAAGGUUUUCGGAUCGUAAAACUCUGUUGUCAGAGAAGAACAAGUUGGAGAGUAACUGCUCCAGCCUUGACGGUAUCUGACCAGAAAGCCACGGCUAACUACGUGCCAGCCGCAGC